RNAcentral lists this transfer RNA (75 nucleotides) under Candidatus Saccharimonadota bacterium. RNAcentral's name for it is "tRNA-Thr". It matches the Rfam family "tRNA". From Rfam's summary of the family: Transfer RNA (tRNA) molecules are approximately 80 nucleotides in length. Their secondary structure includes four short double-helical elements and three loops (D, anti-codon, and T loops). Lineage: Bacteria; Candidatus Saccharimonadota. RNAcentral also lists the same sequence under 2 other names. The record is from RNAcentral.
GCCGCCUUAGCUCAGUGGUAGAGCACUUCCAUGGUAAGGAAGGGGUCUCGAGUUCAAGUCUCGAAGGCGGCUCCA